GUGGGGAAUUUUGGACAAUGGGCGCAAGCCUGAUCCAGCCAUGCCGCGUGCAGGAUGAAGGCCUUCGGGUUGUAAACUGCUUUUGUACGGAACGAAAAGGUGCCUUCUAAUAAAGGGCGCUCAUGACGGUACCGUAAGAAUAAGCACCGGCUAACUACGUGCCAGCAGCCGCGGUAAUACGUAGGGUGCGAGCGUUAAUCGGAAUUACUGGGCGUAAAGCGUGCGCAGGCGGUUUUGUAAGACAGAGGUGAAAUCCCCGGGCUCAACCUGGGAACUGCCUUUGUGACUGCAAGGCUGGAGUGCGGCAGAGGGGGAUGGAAUUCCGCGUGUAGCAGUGAAAUGCGUAGAUAUGCGGAGGAACACCGAUGGCGAAGGCAAUCCCCUGGGCCUGCACUGACGCUCAUGCACGAAAGCGUGGGGAGCAAACAGGAUUAGAUACCCUGGUAGUCC
Molecule: ribosomal RNA, 450 nt
Filed under: uncultured bacterium
Lineage: Bacteria
Description: partial 16S ribosomal RNA
Rfam family: Bacterial small subunit ribosomal RNA
Source: RNAcentral